RNAcentral lists this ribosomal RNA (447 nucleotides) under uncultured bacterium. RNAcentral's name for it is "partial 16S ribosomal RNA". It matches the Rfam family "Bacterial small subunit ribosomal RNA", at positions 29 to 523 of the family's 1533-position model. The record is from RNAcentral.
AACGAACGCUGGCGGCAGGCUUAACACAUGCAAAUCGAACGCAUCGCAAGAUGAGUGGCAGACGGGUGAGUAACGCGUGGGAACAUACCCUUUUCUACGGAAUAGCUCUGGGAAACUGGAAUUAAUACCGUAUACGCCCUACGGGGGAAAGAUUUAUCGGGGAAGGAUUGGCCCGCGUUGGAUUAGCUAGUUGGUGGGGCAAAGGCCUACCAAGGCGACGAUCCAUAGCUGGUCUGAGAGGAUGAUCAGCCACAUUGGGACUGAGACACGGCCCAAACUCCUACGGGAGGCAGCAGUGGGGAAUAUUGGACAAUGGGCGCAAGCCUGAUCCAGCCAUGCCGCGUGAGUGAUGAAGGCCUUAGGGUUGUAAAGCUCUUUCACCGAUGAAGAUAAUGACGGUAGUCGGAGAAGAAGCCCCGGCUAACUUCGUGCCAGCAGCCGCCGUAA